ACAGGCUAACACAUGCAAGUCGAGGGGCAGCAUGUCGGUUGCUGCAACCGAUGAUGGCGACCGGCGCACGGGUGAGUAACGCGUAUCCAACCUGGCCCGCAGUAGGGAACAGCCCGGCGAAAGUCGGAUUAAUGCCCUAUGUCUUCCUUUGCAGGCAUCCAAUGAGGAAGAAAGAUUUAUCGCUGCGGGAUGGGGAUGCGUCUGAUUAGCUUGUCGGCGGGGUAACGGCCCACCGAGGCGACGAUCAGUAGGGGUUCUGAGAGGAAGGUCCCCCACACUGGUACUGAGACACGGACCAGACUCCUACGGGAGGCAGCAGUGAGGAAUAUUGGUCAAUGGGCGAGAGCCUGAACCAGCCAAAUAGCGUGCAGGGAACCGACUGCCCUAUGGGUUGUAAACUGUCUUUUAUGCGGGGAUAAACUUCAGCACGUGUGCUGUUUUGCAGGUACCGCAUGAAUAAGGACCGGCUAAUUCCGUGCCAGCCGCGGC
This 489-nucleotide ribosomal RNA is filed under the name uncultured bacterium. RNAcentral's name for it is "bacterial SSU rRNA". It matches the Rfam family "Bacterial small subunit ribosomal RNA", at positions 42 to 518 of the family's 1533-position model. The record is from RNAcentral.